UCAGAACAUAACAUAUUGUUUUCUGGCUCACAAGGGCAUUUUCGUCAUUUUUGUCGAAAAUCUCGAAACUUGCUAAAAAUAUAGUAGGUAAGCAGAAAAUAUAUAUUUAAUGAUUUAAAAACAAAUUAAAUAUCUAAAACGUUCAUUUGAAGUGAAAAUUUGACCAUUUGAGUAUAAUAAAAAUAUUCAAUAAAAUAAACUAUUUUCUUAUAAAAUAAUUUUCAUAAAACUAUCAGUACAUAAUUCUUAUAGCGUAAAAGUUAAUUAUAUUUAUAUAUACUAUAAAGCAAAUAACCAAAGUAUAAAAUUUCUUUUACAGUGACACGUGGGCCCAUAUCUAACCAAAAUGCAUCGGAAGCUGGAAACCUACAACUUUUACCGAUUCGAGUCCAAAUGAAGGUUCUUGUCAAAGUCAGCUAACUAUGGAAUUCUCCGAGCCUGAAAUGUGAGGAAAUGAGGGUGGUGAGAUUAGAAAAUCCCAGUGAGUAAACAAAUACCAUCUAAACUAUCUAAAGUCGAGUAAAUGGAGACAAUUAAAAUAAAUCAUCAUACUGUAAUUUCAUUACCUUUCAACUCAUUUCAACCAAAUAAAAUCAAUCCAUAAAAAUCGAGUAAUCAACUUGGCUUAUGAAUUUCUUAAAACUUUGGCUCGUGCCAAAACUCAUACUCGGUGAUACCUUGUGCAGGGCAUCUAACCGAGUCCGCCAAGGCUGUUAAAAUUUUGUGUACACUUAAAAUAUAUUUUUGUUUGAAAAAAAUACAGCCGUUCCUUGGCGUUGGCUGAGUUCCCCUCCACGUGGUGGUUUGGCGUGAAGUGAACCCUAAGCUUUACCCCAGGAGAUACCCUACGCGCUUCUCCAUUCGAGGUAAUAAUAUAAUGGAGUUUACCGUGCCCCUCUAAUAGGCUGGUCCACGGAACCCCCUCUGCAGUAAAUAAUUAAUAUAUAAUCCACCAAUCAAUAAAAUUCAUUCUAGCAUGACAUGGCAAUUUAUUGCAACCUAGCCUCUCAAGGCUGAAUACACAUUAUAAAUAAUUCUAACACCAAAAUCAGUUUAGCCAUUCAUGCUCAUUUAUUAUCAUAAGCCAUUCAAUUCAAAACCAUAAAUUUGCAACACAAACUAGCAGUCUCCAAUUACUCUAUUUUCAAAACCAAUAUUCGAUUUUCCAGAAAAUUUAUAAAAUCAUUUUAUAAAAUCACAAUUUCUCUUAAAACAUAGCAAUUUACCAUUUAAACCCAUUUUUCAUAAAAUCACACAGUUGUAUAAAACUACUCUAGAUAAUUAAGACGAUAAUAAGUUCACUCACAGUUCUAGGAGUCGAUGUACUCCUAAUCCCAGUCUCCAAGCACAAUUUCUGUACUUUUACCAGUGUACUUUGCUCACCACCUAUCCACAAUGUACAAUACAUAAUUCACCACAUCAAUGCUUGACCAUUAUAAAAUCAAUUCAGGCUCGGUAUAUAUGCAUGAUAUGAUAUACAACUUAUCCGACUACCGCUUAAAUGCGGUGUUGACCUAAUUCGGCCUAUUAUCUCCAAUUUAACUCCAAAUCAAUUCUUCUCACUUUCUACACUCCAAUUAUAACUAAAUUACCUCCAUGACUGUGAAUGAGAUUCAAUUUAUCAGUCUCGAUAGCAAAUUACGAAAAUACCCCUAGUGGGUAAAAAUCGUAUUUUUGCUCCGAAAAUUUCCAUUAUUUUUCUAGGCUCAUAAUUCAUCAUUUCUUAACCAAUUCUCCUAAAAUGAAAAUCAAAUUUAUCCUCACUCAACACAUGAUAAAUUCGGCCAUUAAUGAUUGUGGGAGAAAAUAAAUUCUUUUCUUGUUGUUUUGUUUCUAAAUAUGCUAAACUAACUUAAAACACUAACAUAACUUAAAAUCAAAUUAAUCUAACAAGUUUCUCUCUCCUAACCCAUUUUUUCAGAAUUGAAUUCAUCAUGAAAACAUGUAAUUUAAUCAUGGAAAAUAAAGAGAAAUGCUUGGGAAUAAGAAAACUCAAGCUUAAUAGAAAAAAUCUCACCUUUUUCACUUAAUUUCCUUGAAAAUUCACACUUUUUCUUUGAUUUUCUCCCUCUAGGGUUUUGUUUUUGUUUUCUCUCUCUUCUUGCUGGUUUGG
This 2113-nucleotide long non-coding RNA is filed under the name Theobroma cacao (cacao). Its description in RNAcentral is "long non-coding RNA (TCAC_LNC003102)". Lineage: Eukaryota; Viridiplantae; Streptophyta; Magnoliopsida; Malvales; Malvaceae. The record is from RNAcentral.